UGGCUUGUCUCAAAGAUUAAGCCAUGCAUGUCUAAGCAUAAGCCGAAUAUGGUAAAGCCGCGAAUGGCUCAUUACAACAGCCAUAGUUUAUUGGAUCUUAGAGUCCUACUUGGAUACCUGUGGAAAAUCUAGAGCUAAUACACGCAAUCAAGCCCUAACCUGACGGACUGGGCGCAUUUAUUAGAACAAAACCAAUUGGCUUCGGCCAUAGCUUGGUGAAUCUGAAUAACUACGCUGAUCGCAUGGUCUCGUACCGGCGACGUAUCCUUCAAGUGUCUGCCUUAUCAACUUUCGAUGGUAGUCUAUAAGCCUACCAUGGUUGUAACGGGUAACGGAGAAUAAGGGUUCGACUCCGGAGAGGGAGCCUGAGAAACGGCUACCACUUCCAAGGAAGG
This 395-nucleotide ribosomal RNA is filed under the name Chromadorita sp. 2 LM-2017. Its description in RNAcentral is "SSU rRNA". It matches the Rfam family "Eukaryotic small subunit ribosomal RNA", at positions 30 to 425 of the family's 1831-position model. The record is from RNAcentral. Lineage: Eukaryota; Metazoa; Nematoda; Chromadorea; Chromadorida; Chromadoridae.